Mugil cephalus (flathead mullet) is the source of this 429-nucleotide long non-coding RNA. RefSeq lists it as uncharacterized. NCBI's taxonomy places the organism in Eukaryota, Metazoa, Chordata, Actinopteri, Mugiliformes, Mugilidae. The transcript is spliced from 2 exons. The record is from RefSeq and is a predicted model, not a curated record.
GCGCGCAGCUCCGAGUGCGUAGAGUGAAGAAAGGAGACAGUUGGUGACAAGUCAGCUGAACCCUGCGCUUUGACACUCGCCCGUGUGUGUGGAUUCGGUCCUGGGUCUCUGCAGAGGCGCGUGGAUGCUGACAGCACACCGAGAAAGGAGGCUUUGACUGACUGCUCCCCUUUUAAAUCUAGUUCAGGAGUCCAGGAUUUUCGUGGAUAAUGAAGGCGAACGCGUGCGUCAAUGCUGGAAAAAAAAAAAAAAAAGGAAAAGAAGAAGAAAAAACAAACGCUUUUAAUCAAAUAUCAUCAGAAAUUUAAGGAUGACGUGAACACAAGUAAACAAAAAGGUCACGUGAAUGUAAUGCAUAAUGAAAACCUGUUUCAUGUAUCUGACAGCCAACAUUUGACUAACCUUUGUAUUAAAGAUGCUUCUUAUUUA